UAUGUAUACGGAUAGGAUUCGAUUAUUUUAAAACAUUUUUUUCCGUUAAAUUAUUGUAAAUUUGUGUAACUGAUGUAUAGUUAAGAUUCAAAAUUAAAUUUCAAUAAAAUUACUGUGAGGCGAUGAGACCGUUUGGACACCAAAAAGAAAUAUUAUUCAACUUCAACUGCGAGUUCAACACUGCAAGAUGAGACAAACACAGUUUAUAUGUAAAACGUAUAAGUAAACAACAAUGUGAGUGUGACAUUUUAUUUUACAAUAUAUUAUUUUAAAUUCAUAAAA
Aphis gossypii (cotton aphid) is the source of this 282-nucleotide long non-coding RNA. RefSeq lists it as uncharacterized. The transcript has 2 exons. The record is from RefSeq and is a predicted model, not a curated record. Lineage: Eukaryota; Metazoa; Arthropoda; Insecta; Hemiptera; Aphididae.